AUGCCCUUCCGAGUCUGUGCCCACAUCCCCUCCAUAGUGGCAGGAGUAGUAUAUUCGCAGCUCAUCCAGGGGGGCUGCUGUGUGCAGCCCCCAUCAGUGUGCACUCCUACCCCAUACACACACACACACACACACAGGCACUCCCUGGGCUCAGUAACAUGUACACAGGUACAUGUGGACACACGCCCAUGUGUGCAGUGCACAAGUGGACAAGCCCAUCCGUGUGUGUUGUGCCCUCUCUGGAUGCUGGGGAUGUUAUGUUCUCUUAAAUGCCCUGUGACACUGACCCAGCCAUUUGCCCGCAAAAGCGGGGACCCAGGCAGGGUUGGUCCCUGGGAGGCUGAGGGGGCCCCUCGGCAGAGAUCCAGGGUAGGUUCGGCAACAGCCACAGUCCCCAGUGCCAGACCGGCCCACUGUCCUACAGCCGCCACACCUGACACCCGCCAUAGACACCCAGUGUCUGCCCAGCCUAGAGACCAGGCAGAUCCAAAGACGCGAGAUCUUGGUGGCUUUUCAGCAGAGGAAACAGACCAGGACUCCUGGGGCCGUGGUGUAGCCUGCCAGGCCGGCCAGGGCAAGGCCACCCCUGCGGGGGUGUGUUUGGCUUUGCGGAAUCCUACCUUCUCAGCAUCCUGGGACUGGGCCCGACUCACUAAGGGAAUCUGCUGUCCUGGGCCCGGUGGUCCUCUCAGCCUACAGCCUGUCCAGAAAGCUGGGCCUCGUGGCCUGCAGGAGACUGGGUCAAGGGGCUCACAUAGGUCCCUUGGAUCUUUGUUUUGUGACCCCGCCAGCCCUGGUUGGCCUUUGACCGAUCGAUGCUUCCCAAACUGGCCCUGCAGCCCCUGGCCCCACCUGCCACAAGGGAGGCCCUGCUGGGCGUGGAGGCCUGGCUGCCUUUCUAGCCGGUCACACUGGGGAAUCCCCCCUGCUGGCCUCCACCCAGAAUGCCCGGCACGCCUCCUGGCACUCAUCCACUUUCCUGGGCCCUCUUCCAGCAGACCGCAGGCUUUGGCAGCGGGAGGAUGGGUGCCUGGGGGGCCCAGCCCCUUCCCACGGCUCUUCUGGCCCCCAGCAGGGGGAUGGGGUGGCAGAGACCAAUUCCGUUUAACAUGGAAAUAA
RNAcentral lists this long non-coding RNA (1119 nucleotides) under Sus scrofa (pig). RNAcentral describes it as "lncRNA (ENSSSCG00070008130.1)". The record is from RNAcentral. Lineage: Eukaryota; Metazoa; Chordata; Mammalia; Artiodactyla; Suidae.